This 280-nucleotide unclassified non-coding RNA is filed under the name soil metagenome. RNAcentral's name for it is "partial contains small subunit ribosomal RNA, internal transcribed spacer 1, and 5.8S ribosomal RNA". The record is from RNAcentral.
UUUCCGUAGGUGAACCUGCGGAAGGAUCAUUGUCGAAUCCUGCAAUAGCAGAAUGACCCGCUAACACGUCAACAAUUAGGGCGAGCAUCGGGGGACCUUGGUCUCCUGUUUGCGAAUCCCUGGUAGGUGGCCACUCCCGGGUGGCCACUGGCCUGCAAAAUCAUUCGGGCGCGGAAUGCGCCAAGGAUCUUAAAACUGAAUUGUACGUCCGUAUCCCGUUAACGGGCUCCGGCGUCUUUCCAAAACACAACGACUCUCGACAACGGAUAUCUCGGCUCUC